GACGAACCGAGCGACCGUUGUUCGGAAUCACUGGGCUUAAAGGGCGCGUAGGCGGACUAUCAAGUCUGGGGUGAAAUCCCGCGGCUCAACCGUGGAACUGCCUCAGAUACUGACGGUCUCGAGGGAGGUAGGGGCAUGCGGAACUGUAGGUGGAGCGGUGAAAUGCGUUGAUAUCUACAGGAACUCCGGUGGCGAAAGCGGCGUGCUGGACCUCUUCUGACGCUGAGGCGCGAAAGCUAGGGGAGCAAACGGG
RNAcentral lists this ribosomal RNA (253 nucleotides) under uncultured bacterium. RNAcentral's name for it is "partial 16S ribosomal RNA". It matches the Rfam family "Bacterial small subunit ribosomal RNA", at positions 524 to 776 of the family's 1533-position model. The record is from RNAcentral.